Long non-coding RNA from Oxyura jamaicensis (ruddy duck), 1150 nucleotides. RefSeq lists it as uncharacterized. The record is from RefSeq and is a predicted model, not a curated record. Lineage: Eukaryota; Metazoa; Chordata; Aves; Anseriformes; Anatidae. The transcript is spliced from 3 exons.
ACUCAUCUCUUAUCUCUGCUGGGCUUGUCAGCUGUAGCCAUCACUAAGUAAUUAACACAGCUGUGUUUAGACCUAUAGAAAGGGCAAAUGACAUGUAGGUAGACAGGACAGUAGAGAUUCCUACAGCUUGGAUCCAGGCUCAGGUUUCAAGAGGCAGCCUGGUACACUCAUUAAGUAAGCCAGAGCCGUGCGGUUACAAAGUCCACAUGAUCACAUUCACAGAUCUCUGAGAAUACAAAAGAAACACUUUUACAGUCUUCAAGGCACUGGCUUCUUCAUACAUCUGUACGCUGCCUAAUGAGAGAUGUAAGUGUGCUUUAAUACUUGUACGCUGUGUCCCAGGGAAAAAAACAAACCUUAGGACUGGAGCAUUAUGAUGACAGAUGAGAGUACUAUGGUGUAAUAAUCCAUUAGAAAUGUUGGUUGUGUAAUUAAACUGCAAAAAUAAUUCUUAGCGGAAUAUCUAGAGAUAAAAAGAUAAGAAUGUCAGACCUCUGAAACCUGUUCCCAAGCUGACACAGCAGGCAAGCGGAGCAGCUGUCAUAAAACAACCCCAUUCCACGGCCAGGGCUGUGUGUGUGUAACACACAUGACAUUUCUUCUCACUAACAGGCAUCUUGGGAUUUUUAUGACCACGAGGAUGGUCCUGAAAGAACAAUAACAUUGAAAACUGUAUCAACCCUAUAUACAGCCAUGCCUGUAGGCACUGCAGUCUUUAAGAAGAGAGCACAGGACUGAAGAAUAGAUAACCUGUCAUCUCUCCACAGCUGUGCUGCUACGAUGUGACCGUGAUCAAGUCAUUUCACCUUCCUAAGACUUCUUUCUCAUUUGACCUCUCCUGUCUGUGAGGGCAGUAAAGGGUGACCUCUCUCAGAACCUCACCGUAAGCUGGGGUGACUUCAAAGUGCUGCCAUAGAUCAGCAGAAAAUUCUGACGGUAAGGGAUUGCUGAAAGGCUUCCUCCGGUUUCUUUUCUCACUAGGGGUGUCCUGCGGUUUAACAUCCAACAAGCAGGUUGAUCAAAGGUAUCCAUUGAGAAACAACGUGACUGGCUCAGCCAAGGGAAAUGAGGCUUUAAAAGUGAGUUGAUGUACCCGUUUUUGAUGUACCACAAGAGCUUCAUUUCUUAUAGAAGACAACCUCCGUCUCAC